RNAcentral lists this ribosomal RNA (950 nucleotides) under Glutamicibacter arilaitensis. RNAcentral describes it as "bacterial SSU rRNA". It matches the Rfam family "Bacterial small subunit ribosomal RNA", at positions 133 to 1103 of the family's 1533-position model. The record is from RNAcentral. Lineage: Bacteria; Bacillati; Actinomycetota; Actinomycetes; Micrococcales; Micrococcaceae.
CGACUCUGGGAUAAGCCCGGGAAACUGGGUCUAAUACCGGAUAUUACCUCUUGCCGCAUGGCAGGUGGUGGAAAGAUUUAUCGGUGGGGGAUGGACUCGCGGCCUAUCAGCUUGUUGGUGAGGUAAUGGCUCACCAAGGCGACGACGGGUAGCCGGCCUGAGAGGGUGACCGGCCACACUGGGACUGAGACACGGCCCAGACUCCUACGGGAGGCAGCAGUGGGGAAUAUUGCACAAUGGGCGAAAGCCUGAUGCAGCGACGCCGCGUGAGGGAUGACGGCCUUCGGGUUGUAAACCUCUUUCAGUAGGGAAGAAGCGAAAGUGACGGUACCUGCAGAAGAAGCGCCGGCUAACUACGUGCCAGCAGCCGCGGUAAUACGUAGGGCGCAAGCGUUAUCCGGAUUUAUUGGGCGUAAAGAGCUCGUAGGCGGUUUGUCGCGUCUGCCGUGAAAGUCCGAGGCUCAACCUCGGAUCUGCGGUGGGUACGGGCAGACUAGAGUGAUGUAGGGGAGACUGGAAUUCCUGGUGUAGCGGUGAAAUGCGCAGAUAUCAGGAGGAACACCGAUGGCGAAGGCAGGUCUCUGGGCAUUUACUGACGCUGAGGAGCGAAAGCAUGGGGAGCGAACAGGAUUAGAUACCCUGGUAGUCCAUGCCGUAAACGUUGGGCACUAGGUGUGGGGGACAUUCCACGUUUUCCGCGCCGUAGCUAACGCAUUAAGUGCCCCGCCUGGGGAGUACGGCCGCAAGGCUAAAACUCAAGGAAUUGACGGGGGCCGCACAAGCGGCGGAGCAUGCGGAUUAAUUCGAUGCAACGCGAAGACCUUACCAAGGCUUGACAUGUGCCAGACCGCUUCAGAGAUGGAGUUUCCCUUCGGGGCUGGUUCACAGGUGGUGCAUGGUUGUCGUCAGCUCGUGUCGUGAGAUGUUGGUUAGUCCGCACGAGCGCAACC